RNAcentral lists this ribosomal RNA (492 nucleotides) under uncultured bacterium. RNAcentral describes it as "partial 16S ribosomal RNA". It matches the Rfam family "Bacterial small subunit ribosomal RNA", at positions 30 to 507 of the family's 1533-position model. The record is from RNAcentral.
AUUGGACGCUGGCGGCAUGCUUUACACAUGCAAGUCGAACGGUAACAGGCCUUCGGGUGCUGACGAGUGGCGAACGGGUGAGUAAUGCAUCGGAACGUGCCCAGAGGUGGGGGAUAACGCAGCGAAAGCUGUGCUAAUACCGCAUGUGAUCUGAGGAUGAAAGCGGGGGACCAGGCAGCAAUGUUUGGCCUCGCGCCUUUGGAGCGGCCGAUGUCAGAUUAGGUAGUUGGUGGGGUAAAGGCCUACCAAGCCGACGAUCUGUAGCUGGUCUGAGAGGACGACCAGCCACACUGGGACUGAGACACGGCCCAGACUCCUACGGGAGGCAGCAGUGGGGAAUUUUGGACAAUGGGCGCAAGCCUGAUCCAGCAAUGCCGCGUGCGGGAAGAAGGCCUUCGGGUUGUAAACCGCUUUUGUACGGAACGAAAAGGCUCUGGCUAAUACCUGGGGCUGAUGACGGUACCGUAAGAAUAAGCACCGGCUAACUACGUG